UCCCCGAGAGCCCACCGGUAGCGAUCUCGACUGUUAAUGCAGCGGCCGUUGGUUCGAGUCCAACUCGGGGAGCCA
This 75-nucleotide transfer RNA is filed under the name Mesorhizobium sp. Its description in RNAcentral is "tRNA-Asn". It matches the Rfam family "tRNA". Rfam says of the family: Transfer RNA (tRNA) molecules are approximately 80 nucleotides in length. The record is from RNAcentral. Lineage: Bacteria; Pseudomonadati; Pseudomonadota; Alphaproteobacteria; Hyphomicrobiales; Phyllobacteriaceae.